UUAAUUGACAUAUUUAGAUUUAUAAUUAUAAUCUUAGAUAAUUAGAUAAUAUUACGAUUAAAUAUAAUUAAUAUUUUGGAUGUUAAAUUAAUGUUUGGGUUUUUGAAUACUCUUUUUGGGUAACGGGUAAUUUCCGGGCCAAUCGGAUAUCCACGGGUUUACUAAAACUCUACCCAAUAAGGAAUUUUCAAAACGCUUGAUAACGCUUGAAACCGCAACCGCCCGUUUCCGCAAACUCCCGCAACCGCAACCGCACCCGCUGCGUUUAAAACAGUCAGGCCCUAAAUCGAUAUUAAUACAAGAUGGUAUACUACAUGUGAAACUCUAAAAUUAACAAUCAAAAUACAAGUGUAUAAUUUUAAACACUAAA
Molecule: small RNA, 370 nt
Filed under: Arabidopsis thaliana (thale cress)
Lineage: Eukaryota; Viridiplantae; Streptophyta; Magnoliopsida; Brassicales; Brassicaceae
Description: ATSL212990
Source: RNAcentral